ACCCCACUUAAACCAGUUCUGCAUUGGAUUACUAAAGCUGCUCAUAACAUGCAUCAAUCAUAAACCUAUAUGAAAUUUCAUAUCUGUAAAAAUACUUUCAAAUAUUAAAUGCUAUGAUACACCACCAAUUGAGUACUUGCUUCAUCAAGUACUAAGUCUCAUUGCUUAUAAGCUAUUAAAUAUUAUGGAAAACUAGAAAUGGUUGCAUGUCAGUUACUAAAUCUGUUACAUAAAAUAGGUCAGGUACUGUCCUGUACUGGCUCUGUAUUUGACAAAUGAUAAUAUCUGAUACAAAAAUUGGGGUGAGAUAUUUAGCUUUGAUUCAAUCCUCACCUUGACUUAAAGCAGAGUUAAGCAAACGAGUAUCAUGUGGAGGCUUAGAUGUCCACUCCACUAGUCCUUGCCAGCAUGGCCGGUGGCAAGAACUUGGGUGAAGUGUGGUUCCAAACAGCUGGAGGAGCUCAAGUUGUCGUCCCUUUGGCCAAAGGAUGCUGUGUUGUUGCCUGUCAUGCAUAGACCAAGAUAGCUCUCUUUGUUUUCCUUCCACCUUGCAGUGAAUGUCGUAGUAGUAGUUGACGGGAACUGUAUCCUCCAAUAUACCCAUCGUCAGUCACCUUGUUCCUGCCUUUCUGAUGGGCAGCCUCUCUUGCCCCGACGCCCUCCACCAACUUACGGUGCUGUACCCCCCAGUCCCAUUAUCCCCAGAGGCCCAGCUUGCGGCCAAGAAGCUGGACCAGCCCCAUCACGCAGGACCCGUGGACUCAGCGUCCGCUGUUGCACCAAAGCCUGUCUGGGCGAUGAAGAGGAACAUGCCGAGCGGCACCUCCAUCGGGGCCCAACCUGCAGCCGCCUUACCCCCGUGCCCUUGCCCUGCAGCCCUUCUGGGCCCUGGUUUGGAGUAGGAUCCCUCAGUGGAGGCAGGCGAGGGGCUCGGGUUGUGAAGAUCUGGGACCGGCACCGAUGCCCUUUAUUGGAAGAAGGAGAUGUCAUCGCCAAGGUGAAUGGGGCUGACGUCCGAGAUCUGAGCCCUGGAGAAGUGGAGAGUGUGUUGCAGGAGCAUAUGCGAACAGGAGAUGUGAUCCUUCUGGUGGAAAGGAAAGGUCAUCAUUCCCAUAGGCAUCCUCAGGAAAACUGCUCUGUUAGACAAGAACAUUUCUUGCCCAACUCCACUCGUAACAAAAGUGGUCCUCGGGAUCUUUCUAACCCUUGGGGAGGACCCCCAGGUGACACUUUGACUGUAACCAGUUUUGUGGGUCCUGAACCUCGCAAUGUACUUGUGUGUCCUGCUCGUUGUUCCCAAAGGCUGAGGAGGCCUCGCCCAGCAGGAGGGGCUGGGGAACCCAUAAAUGUGGAUGGUCCAAAAGAACAGCAUGGAUGUUGCACUGCACUACCAACUGAUGGAGUUGCAGCUGGAAGAACUGGUAAGAAGGAUGGAACAUAAUGGGAAUUUUAGUCUGCACCCAUGUCCUGCCAAAAUUCCAAAUGUUGUGCUCAUGCUCUUUGAACCAAUUCCAAAUAUUUGCUUAACAUACCUUUGUAUGUAGUUGGUUGCUGUCGUUGAUGCAGAUGCCUUAGAAAUGAAAACAAAUGAGCUGGCACUUAAAGAAAAUACAAAAUAGACAGUUGCACAAUUCUUGCAUUAGGUAAUGUUAUGAAAGAGUGCAAGUUUCUGGAUUAUUUGAAAUCCCAAAUCAGGACAGGUAAUAUAAAAAACCAAAGAACAGGGGAAGAAAAGGAAUUAGGUCAAAUGUGAUCAUCAGGUCUAUUUUAACAUUGUGAAGACUUUGUUGGUACAUUGAAUGUAUUUCUUAGUAGUAGGUUGCAGGUAUCAGAUUAUGUCUGGCAUUCUGAAGCAAAUAAUGAUUAAACACAGGCACUUUCCCCAAAUAAAUGAGAAUCCAGAUCAAUUUUUACCUUAGAAUAUAGGGGGAGGGGCUGAUAGUUCAGAGGAGAACAGACGUAAGGAGAAAUAUAACCAUCUUUAUCUUAGAAAAGCUGAAAUUAUUUAAGCAAUAAAGUUGUGGAGGGCAAAUUUAGAAACUGCAAGGAACAUAACCUUCAAAACGCAAAAAUUCUUUCAGUGGGAAAUAUUCUGGUACUAGAUUUCACUUCGUUAAAUUCUGUAUUUAAGUAAAAGAGGCCUUUUGGUUCAGUAUCUAGUAUGCUAAUUAUUUUAUUAUAGUUUAUUCCCAUUGCAUAAUUCUACAGAACCUGCACAUCUUUGCACAAAGCAAUAAAAAAUGCUAUGUCAUAUUUGUCAUUUUCAAAAUAAUACCUCUAAAAAAAACCCUAAUCUUUAUCAUAUGAAGCAUCUCUGGCUGAUAUCUUUCAAUGUAACUGUACUACAAUCAUUGUUCAGUUUCAAGAAUAAUAACUAUGUUGCUAUAAAAACACCAGUCGUGUGACAUUUUUAAAAAUGCACAUGUAUGAUUAUAGGAUUCAAGCCCAUGAGGACUUGCAGUAAUAAAUAUCUUAAUUUUGAAGUAUCACUUGGAUUUUUGAGUUUACGUUGGGGAAAUCUGUUUCCUUUCUUUGUGAUAUGAAAAAAUGUACAGGACUCUAAAUUUUGUGUGCGCACGUAUUGGGGGCAGGAAAGAGAAUUAAAGGAAUGCUAAGAAGCAACCCAGCAUAGUGGUAAACAAGGGUGAAGUCAGUGUAAUUUUUUAAACAAUCUUCUUGGUCUUUUGAUUGAAUGGGAAAUAAAUGCAAUUGAUUUCUGAUCAUUUGAGAAAGUACCUGUCUCUCAGGUUGUGUUUAGAGAAUUACAAGCCUUAAUUUUGUUUCCAUGUGAGCGUAAAUAAUCAGGAUUCAACUCUUUUAAACAUACACACCCACAUGCACAGAGCAACUUGUUCCUCCUGGUUCUGAACAGGUUAAGCGUCAGCCACUCUGUUCCCUCCCCUGAAAGUCCUUGAUUUAUCAGGCAAAGGGGAAAAUUCCUGAGGGGUUCAGAGAAGAACAGAGACCAGAAGAGCAGCCGUGAGAGGACCCACUCCCUGUUUUAACUUGUUUC
This 3013-nucleotide long non-coding RNA is filed under the name Laticauda laticaudata (blue-ringed sea krait). RNAcentral's name for it is "lncRNA (ENSLLTG00000011251.1)". Lineage: Eukaryota; Metazoa; Chordata; Lepidosauria; Squamata; Elapidae. The record is from RNAcentral.